RNAcentral lists this ribosomal RNA (253 nucleotides) under uncultured bacterium. Its description in RNAcentral is "partial 16S ribosomal RNA". It matches the Rfam family "Bacterial small subunit ribosomal RNA", at positions 524 to 776 of the family's 1533-position model. The record is from RNAcentral.
UACGUAGGGUGCAAGCGUUGUCCGGAAUUAUUGGGCGUAAAGGGCUCGUAGGCGGUCCGUCACGUCGGGAGUGAAAACUUGGGGCUUAACCCCAAGCCUGCUUCCGAUACGGGCGGACUAGAGGUAGGCAGGGGAGAACGGAAUUCCUGGUGUAGCGGUGAAAUGCGUAGAGAUCAGGAAGAACAUCGGUGGCGAAGGCGCUCUGCUGGACCAUAACUGACACUCAGGGACGAAAGCUAGGGGAGCGAAUGGG